UACGAAGGGGGCUAGCGUUGCUCGGAAUCACUGGGCGUAAAGGGCGCGUAGGCGGCCGAUUAAGUCGGGGGUGAAAGCCUGUGGCUCAACCACAGAAUUGCCUCGAUACUGGUUGGCUUGAGACCGGAAGAGGACAGCGGAACUGCGAGUGUAGAGGUGAAAUUCGUAGAUAUUCGCAAGAACACCAGUGGCGAAGGCGGCUCACUGGCCCGAUACUGACGCUGAGGCACGAAAAGCGUGGGGGAGCAAACAGGG
RNAcentral lists this ribosomal RNA (255 nucleotides) under uncultured bacterium. RNAcentral describes it as "partial 16S ribosomal RNA". It matches the Rfam family "Bacterial small subunit ribosomal RNA", at positions 524 to 777 of the family's 1533-position model. The record is from RNAcentral.